AGGGCACCACCAGGAGUGGAGCCUGCGGCUUAAUUUGACUCAACACGGGAAAACUUACCUGGUCCUGACACUGGAAGGAUUGACAGAUUGAUAGCUCUUUCUUGAUUUGGUGGAUGGUGGUGCAUGGCCGUUCUUAGUUGGUGGAGUGAUUUGUCUGGUUAAUUCCGAUAACGAACGAGACUCUAGCCUAUUAAAUAACACACAGAAUCUUGUCUUCUGUGGCGUUUCUUAAUGGGAUCAAGUGUGUUUAACGCUUUGAAACAGAGCAAUAACAGGUCUGUGAUGCCCUUAGAUGUUCGGGGCCGCACGCGCGCUACAUUGAGAGACAAAAUGAGUUCUCUAGUCUUUAAUAAGGCUAGUAAUCUUUGAACGUUUUUCUUAAUGGGGAUAGGGGAUUGCAAUUGUGCCCCUUGAACGAGGAAUUCCCAGUAAGUGCUAGUCAUUAGCUAGUACUGAUUACGUCCCUGCCCUUUGUACACACCGCCCGUCGCUACUACCGAUUGAAUGGUUUAGUGAGAU
Molecule: ribosomal RNA, 519 nt
Filed under: uncultured eukaryote
Lineage: Eukaryota
Description: SSU rRNA
Rfam family: Eukaryotic small subunit ribosomal RNA
Source: RNAcentral